RNAcentral lists this ribosomal RNA (253 nucleotides) under uncultured Rikenellaceae bacterium. Its description in RNAcentral is "partial 16S ribosomal RNA". It matches the Rfam family "Bacterial small subunit ribosomal RNA", at positions 524 to 776 of the family's 1533-position model. The record is from RNAcentral. Lineage: Bacteria; Pseudomonadati; Bacteroidota; Bacteroidia; Bacteroidales; Rikenellaceae.
UACGUAGGGGGCGAGCGUUGUCCGGAAUGGCUGGGCGUAAAGGGUGCGUAGGCGGUCGGAUAAGUUAGAGGUGAAAUCCCGAGGCUCAACUUCGGAAUUGCCUCUGAUACUGGUUUGCUAGCGAGUAGAUGCUGUAGGCGGAAUGUGUGGUGUAGCGGUGAAAUGCAUAGAGAUCACACAGAACACCGAUUGCGAAGGCAGCUUACAAAUCUAUAUCGGACGCUGAGGCACGAAAGCGUGGGGAGCAAACAGG